Long non-coding RNA from Homo sapiens (human), 1059 nucleotides. RefSeq lists it as uncharacterized. NCBI's taxonomy places the organism in Eukaryota, Metazoa, Chordata, Mammalia, Primates, Hominidae. The transcript is spliced from 3 exons. The record is from RefSeq and is a predicted model, not a curated record.
UGUCCUAAGCUGCUGCUCAGAAGCUCACCGUAAAGGAAACUAUGUUGCUGCCAUUUGACGUCAAAGCGCAUCGAUAACUGAUUCAGUAAUUGGCAACUACUCCUCUAUCAAUGUGUAUGCACAUGGAGACUUGGACUGUCAGAUAAGGGCAGAACGCCAACAACCAAGGCAAGAAGAAUGUGAAAAAGGAUUCAGUAUGUUCAAGAACCCCAAGCCUGAAUCGGAGAUGAGAAAGUGACCACAUCAAAAUGGAGAGAAAAGUAAAAGGUGAGUGAGAGAGAGAAAGGCCAGACAUUUUCUUGUGUUCUAUCCUGUGCCAUUUCAGAGCAGAAUACUAUGCCUCUAACUGUAGAUUAUUCUCAUCUGUAAAAUCUGGAAGGAGAAAUGGCAGCCACCUUUCAAAGUCUAUUCACAUGCUGUGGUAAAAUAUAUGUAUCUCUGUGGGACUGACUGCAGCCUUUAUUAAUGUGCUCAGAUUUCUCCUCGGAGUAAAUGUUUAUUAAUACAUAAAAACCUGUUGAAAGCUCGUAAUUAUCCACAUAUAUUGCUCACACUUUGUAGACCAUUCACAGAAUAUUCAGGCUGGAUUUGCUCCAGCAACUUACCACAUAUAUGGCUAACCAACAACUGGUGUGUUCUCAAGAUGCCCAGAUUUCAACAUCAGCAUAAGGCAAAACAAGCUAAAAUGAGUUUUACAAAAUCAAAGAAAAAUUAUUUGAGAAUUAUCCAUUGAUUGUAUUUAUCUAUGCCGGUAAACUCUUCCCUUAUUUGGACAAUUAAGAGUUGUCAUUGUUUUGCUUUGUUUUUUCUCUCUAAUGUCGAAUGCAGAUAACAAAACUUACUUCAAAAACUGAAAUUUAGAGAUGGCCUAUUUGGUUUUCUGAUACCCUAAUAGAGUUCUUUUCCCUUUUGGACCUCUUCAGAUUGUAUGUAAAUAUGUGUGUGCAAAUGCCUGUCGGUAGGUGAGCCUAUAUAACAUUUCAAAAGCUUUUCUUAGUCUCUAAGUUCAUUAGUUUAAAAAUAAUUAAAAACUACUACUUAUUAUUUAUCCCAAGGUUU